CCAGACUCCUACGGGAGGCAGCAGUGGGGAAUAUUGCACAAUGGGGGAAACCCUGAUGCAGCAACGCCGCGUGAGUGAAGAAGUAUUUCGGUAUGUAAAGCUCUAUCAGCAGGGAAGAAGAAAGACGGUACCUGACUAAGAAGCCCCGGCUAACUACGUGCCAGCAGCCGCGGUAAUACGUAGGGGGCAAGCGUUAUCCGGAUUUACUGGGUGUAAAGGGAGCGUAGACGGCAUAGCAAGUCUGAAGUGAAAGCCCGUGGCUCAACCGCGGAACUGCUUUGGAAACUGUUAAGCUGGAGUACUGGAGAGGCAAGCGGAAUUCCUAGUGUAGCGGUGAAAUGCGUAGAUAUUAGGAGGAACACCAGUGGCGAAGGCGGC
This 378-nucleotide ribosomal RNA is filed under the name uncultured bacterium. Its description in RNAcentral is "partial 16S ribosomal RNA". It matches the Rfam family "Bacterial small subunit ribosomal RNA", at positions 331 to 725 of the family's 1533-position model. The record is from RNAcentral.